AUUCUGACCUUGUCUUAGAAAAAUUCAUAUAUCUCAUAUUCCAAAAUUCCAUUUGUAAUGGGCCAAUUUAGCCUGGGCCCGUAUAAACACAAAACCAAAAAAUUUAUUAUAAUAAAAAUAUUAUAACAGUCCAUUAAAUGUUCAUUUACAGACUUUGACCCAAUUACUAACCUAAUACCCAAAUUAAUACCCUAGCCCAAACCUAUUACAAGCCCAAAUCUAGACCCAAAGGUUCAAGGGCCAAACGGCCCAAAAUUCCUUAGCAACAGGAACCCUAGGGUUCUCUCCCUCGCGCCGCAGCCAAGCCCGAGCCCUCGCACCGUACGACGCCCCAGCUAUCUCCAUACGCCAGCGCACGGCCUCUGUACGCGCUCCACGCUCACCGUACCUGCACACCAAACGCAAGAAGACAACAAACGCGAGAAAAUGGCAGAAAAAUUGUAUUUUUUUUAUUUCUUCUCUCGGCUAUAAAGCCUAAAGAGAACCACCUAUAUAUUUUGGGGACGCACAAAAAAACUGAAUACAAAGAAAAGGUAAUCAAAACUUUGAAAGGUGAUUUUCGGGUGCUUCAUUUUAUCUUCUUUUUGAAUCCGUUCUUUUCCUCCUGGUUUUUGCAUGUAUUCUUGAGCAUAAGAAAAUAAAAUGAAAAGAAUAGUUCACCUUUGCGAAUGGGCCAUCGAAAUCCUUAUCCGCUUUGUCGAAAUCAAAGCGUGGGAUAGGAUUUCUGGGGCUGGAAUCGGCAAUCUUUGAGCUAGGGUUCUAGGCGAGGGUUGCGCGUGUCGUUCUCCACCAAUCGCAAUGGUGGUGGUUGGACUGCGCAGGUUCUUGAGUAGGCCGAACGGCGAUGAUAGACUUUCGGUUUUCUUUUUACUUUGAUUUUUGGAAAAGAAGGAAAUGGGAUGUGUUUCAUUUAGGGUUUUAUUCUGGCAUUUGAAAGUGUAUAAAGCGAUGCCGUUUUAAGCCAAGUUCAAUGGCUUCAAAACGGUGCUGUUUAAGCAGCCCUGACCCGAUGACCCGGUUCGUGUUCGGAUGAGAUCCGCGAGUUUGGCUUUAGAGGGUUAAUUGUGAACUAAGUCCUUCCCCUUUCGCGCCGCGUUUAAAUAAGCUCA
Molecule: long non-coding RNA, 1109 nt
Filed under: Gossypium barbadense (sea-island cotton)
Lineage: Eukaryota; Viridiplantae; Streptophyta; Magnoliopsida; Malvales; Malvaceae
Description: long non-coding RNA (GBAR_LNC008425)
Source: RNAcentral